GUCAGGGGUUCCACCACCAUCCAGGCCAGUUGGUGCAGCUUCCUGUUUCACCUUUCCUUUCUUAUGUACCCAUAUAAAAGUAAUUGUAAAGAAUAUUCUUUAAAGGGAGUGAACAGAAUAAGCAUGGAAGAUGCUAAAAAUCAAAGGACAGAUUUAUUACAUUCAAUGACAGCUUCAAGGAAGUGAUAUCUAAUACAAAUGGAUAUAAAUGUUUGUAAUGUAUAGAAAAUUUCAAUACAAACUUUUAAUCUCACAGAGGCAUCCCAAAUCAGUUUCUAAGGCCUAGUUUAUCUUGAGGCUCUUAGAAAUUGACCCCACCUUAUGAUGGAGCACAACCAGUGUCAGAGUUUCUCCUGUAACCCUCCUCAUUCCCCACAACACUUUUCUUAAGGCACACUAUCCACUUGCCUCUCUUGAUUGGAAACAUUGAAGCAUGGUACUGAUGGAGUGAAGGGCUAGUCAUGUGAUAGAGCUGCAGAGAGAACUCAGGUCCUAGAAAGAAAUGCAGCUAGCUGCUGGAUGCUGGAUGCUGGAUGCUGGAUGCUGGAUGCUGGAUGCUGGAUGCUGGAUGCUGGAUGCAGGAUCUCCUCUUCACUUGCUGUCCUCCAAGGACCCUGACUAGGCAUACUCCACUAUAUAACCUCACAGGCCUGUUGGCUUUGGAGCAUGAACAAGAGUCUGAAUUACAAUCUCCUGAUGCCUCUGAUAUGAAGAGUCCAUAGGAGUCUCAUAUGCUAAGGUCUCUGCCCUAUGGAGGGAGUUCUGAAACUUUGGAGACACUUCUACUUUGCUACUGGAUAAAAAUUGCCCUGGAGUCCUGCACAAUCCUCAUAUUUACCACUGAGAACACAGGAACCCAUUACUCAGCCCAGGUAUCUCACUGUUCUACUCCAACACAAAAGUGGGUGGCCUCAAUAGCAGGAAUGUUUUUCUCACUGUUCUCACAGUCUGUUCUGAGGUCUGUGGCCCCGAUGAGGCCCCUGUCUCCAGCCUACAGAUGACUGCCUUGUCAUUGUGUCCUCAUAUGCAAGAAAAGAAUCUCUGAUUUCCUUUCCUUUUCUGCAGGAGCACCAAUCCCGAGUUCUGACCUCAUGACCUCAGUGACACCUAAUUGUCUCCCAAAGGCUCUCUAAAUACUGCCACACCAGAGGUAGGACAUCUACACUUGAAUUUUUGGAGGACUCUCAGUCCCUAGCAGGUCCAUUUCUAAUUCCUCAAGAACAGCCUCGAAAGCACUUUCAGUGGUAAGCAAUUAUUUCAUUCACACCGGUCAUCUCCAUCUCUUAAAGACAGAAUUGUCCCACUGGUAUCUAGGCUUAUGCAAAAAUGGCUCUCAGAAUACAUCUGCAGGAAAGAAUAUAAAAGCAGAAACCAAU
This 1376-nucleotide long non-coding RNA is filed under the name Mus spicilegus (steppe mouse). Its description in RNAcentral is "lncRNA (ENSMSIG00000017587.1)". The record is from RNAcentral. Lineage: Eukaryota; Metazoa; Chordata; Mammalia; Rodentia; Muridae.